GACGAACGCUGGCGGCGUGCUUAACACAUGCAAGUCGAACGGAAAGGCCCUGCUUUUGUGGGGUGCUCGAGUGGCGAACGGGUGAGUAACACGUGAGUAACCUGCCCUUGACUUUGGGAUAACUUCAGGAAACUGGGGCUAAUACCGGAUAGGAGCUCCUGCUGCAUGGUGGGGGUUGGAAAGUUUCGGCGGUUGGGGAUGGACUCGCGGCUUAUCAGCUUGUUGGUGGGGUAGUGGCUUACCAAGGCUUUGACGGGUAGCCGGCCUGAGAGGGUGACCGGCCACAUUGGGAUUGAGAUACGGCCCAGACUCCUACGGGAGGCAGCAGUGGGGAAUAUUGCACAAUGGGCGGAAGCCUGAUGCAGCAACGCCGCGUGCGGGAUGACGGCCUUCGGGUUGUAAACCGCGUUCGCCUGUGACGAAGCGUGAGUGACGGUAAUGGGUAAAGAAGCACCGGCUAACUACGUG
RNAcentral lists this ribosomal RNA (468 nucleotides) under uncultured bacterium. RNAcentral describes it as "partial 16S ribosomal RNA". It matches the Rfam family "Bacterial small subunit ribosomal RNA", at positions 28 to 507 of the family's 1533-position model. The record is from RNAcentral.